This 419-nucleotide long non-coding RNA is filed under the name Numida meleagris (helmeted guineafowl). Its description in RNAcentral is "lncRNA (ENSNMEG00000015631.1)". The record is from RNAcentral. Lineage: Eukaryota; Metazoa; Chordata; Aves; Galliformes; Numididae.
AUAAUAGUUUCUCAGCAUCAACCCUCACAUAGCAUAUCUAUUUUUCUAGUUUUGUUAUUCCUGGCAACUGAAACCCACGAGGACUUUCUCUUCAUAAUCCACAGGUUUCACUCCCCUACAACAAUUCUGAGUACUCAUCAAAUAUCCUAUUUCUUCUUCUUUAUCGAUGGAAUCACACAGCUCUCCUUUCCAUCCUCUGCAGUCUGAUAUGUGCAUGAGAGAGCAAGCAGAACAUUUUCUGUGCUCCAGAAAUAGCAUGGUGUUUCCAUGCAGUGUAAUGUCACUGGAGACCUGAAGUAACUGUAGUCUAGUGGAAGAGCAGUCAGCUGUGAUUUUUGUGGAAAGAAGAGAUGAAGAAAUGAGCCUGCUAGAACACACAUGCUGAUGCCGCAUCCUUCUAGAAGCACUGGUUGAAUGAG